CCCUUAGAUGUUCUGGGCCGCACGCGCGCUACACUGAUGCAUUCAACGAGUCUAAAACCUGCUCUGAUAGAGGUGGGUAAUCUUUUGAAUGUGCAUCGUGAUUGGGAUAGAUGAUUGCAAUUUUUCAUCUUCAACGAGGAAUGCCUAGUAAACGCAAGUCAUCAGCUUGCAUUGAUUACGUCCCUGCCCUUUGUACACACCGCCCGUCGCUCCUACCGAUUGAAUGAUCCGAUGAAUAUCAUGGAUUGAGGAUGCAAGUAGGUUCGCCUAUCUUCAUCUUCGAGAAGUGAAGUAAAUCUUAUCAUUUAGAGGAAGGAGAAGUCGUAACA
RNAcentral lists this ribosomal RNA (329 nucleotides) under uncultured eukaryote. RNAcentral's name for it is "partial 18S ribosomal RNA". It matches the Rfam family "Eukaryotic small subunit ribosomal RNA", at positions 1470 to 1796 of the family's 1831-position model. The record is from RNAcentral.